This 454-nucleotide ribosomal RNA is filed under the name uncultured bacterium. Its description in RNAcentral is "partial 16S ribosomal RNA". It matches the Rfam family "Bacterial small subunit ribosomal RNA", at positions 28 to 507 of the family's 1533-position model. The record is from RNAcentral.
GAUGAACGCUGACAGAAUGCUUAACACAUGCAAGUCUACUUGAACUUCGGUUUGGGUGGCGGACGGGUGAGUAACGCGUAAAGAACUUGCCUCACAGUUAGGGACAACAUUUGGAAACGAAUGCUAAUACCUGAUAUUAUGAUUUUAGGGCAUCCUAGGAUUAUGAAAGCUAUAUGUGCUGUGAGAGAGCUUUGCGUCCCAUUAGCUAGUUGGAGAGGUAACGGCUCACCAAGGCGAUGAUGGGUAGCCGGCCUGAGAGGGUGAACGGCCACAAGGGGACUGGGACACGGCCCUUACUCCUACGGGAGGCAGCAGUGGGGAAUAUUGGACAAUGGACCAAAAGUCUGAUCCAGCAAUUCUGUGUGCACGAUGACGUUUUUCGGAAUGUAAAGUGCUUUCAGUUGGGAAGAAAAAAAUGACGGUACCAACAGAAGAAGUGACGGCUAAAUACGUG